RNAcentral lists this ribosomal RNA (150 nucleotides) under Agathobacter rectalis. RNAcentral describes it as "partial 23S ribosomal RNA". It matches the Rfam family "Bacterial large subunit ribosomal RNA", at positions 1 to 150 of the family's 2925-position model. Lineage: Bacteria; Bacillati; Bacillota; Clostridia; Lachnospirales; Lachnospiraceae. The record is from RNAcentral.
GGUUAAGUUAUGAAGGGCGCAUGGUGAAUGCCUUGGUACUAGGAGCCGAUGAAGGACGGGACUAACACCGAUAUGCUUCGGGGAGCGGUAAGUACGCUUUGAUCCGGAGAUUUCCGAAUGGGGAAACCCUAUCAUCUUAGUCGAUGAUUG